RNAcentral lists this ribosomal RNA (484 nucleotides) under uncultured bacterium. Its description in RNAcentral is "partial 16S ribosomal RNA". It matches the Rfam family "Bacterial small subunit ribosomal RNA", at positions 28 to 523 of the family's 1533-position model. The record is from RNAcentral.
GAUGAACGCUGGCGGCGUGCUUAACACAUGCAAGUCGAACGAUGAAGCCGGAGCUUGCUCUGGUGGAUUAGUGGCGAACGGGUGAGUAACACGUGAGUAACCUGCCCUUGACUCUGGGCUAAGCGCUGCAAACGGCGUCUAAUACCGGAUACGAGCUUCCACCGCAUGGUGAGUUGCUGGAAAGAAUUUCGGUCAAGGAUGGACUCGCGGCCUAUCAGCUUGUUGGUGAGGGAACGGCUCACCAAGGCGACGACGGGUAGCCGGCCUGAGAGGGUGACCGGCCACACUGGGACUGAGACACGGCCCAGACUCAUACGGGAGGGAGCAGUGGGGAAUAUUGCACAAUGGGCGCGAGCCUGAUGCAGCAACGCCGCGUGAGGGACGAAGGCCUUCGGGUCGUAAACCUCUUUUAGCAGGGAAGAAGCGAAAGUGACGGUACCUGCAGAAAAAGCACCGGCUAACUACGUGCCAGCAGCCGCCGUAA